AUGGAUGGACGGGUAGCUGGGUCACGUACCGGAGUAUGCGUAUCCUUUCAUGGUGUAUGCGCGCUGGGUGGUGAAGGCGUUGAUGGGGAGGAUCUCGUCGUGCCCGGGCGUGGUGAUCACCGAGUUGGUGUUGAGCUCGUUGAUGAUGUACUCGGGCCGGUACCACCACGCCUCCGCGUUGGCCAGCUCCGCGUCCACGUGCGACGGCAGCACCCGGUUGUCCUUGAAGUGGUAGUAGUUGUCGGACUCGGCGGUGGUCACCACGAUGCGCCGGAGCCACUUCACCAUGCGGCCGCCGAUGCAGCCCGGGAUGAGCACGCGGACGGGGAAGCCGUGGUCGGGGAGCAGCGGCUCCCCGUUCUGCGCGUAGGCGAGCAGGAUGUCGCGGGACGGGUCGAGCGCCCACUCCCGGGUCACGCUGGUGCCGUACUUGGAGCCGCCGCCGCCGGGGAGGUCCUCGGCGCCCUCGAAGCACACGUUCAGGGCCUGCCCCUUGCGCGACAUGAUGCCGCACCGGAGCAGCACUUCGCGGAGGCGCGCCCCGCGCCAGACGGAGGUGGACACCCCCGCCGCGCCCCAGUUGAAGCCCACCGUCUGCUGCACCAUGUUCUGCUCCUUGCGGCGGUUGCCGGCGCACACCAGCGUGGCGGGCACCUCCGCGGCGGCGAACCCGUUGGCCAGCUCGUCCAUGGUGAGCCGCGCGGGGCGGCGGACGAGCCCUGUCACCUCGACCGUCCAGGUGGCCCAGUCGCCCUUUGGCACGGCGCCGUGGUUGCGCACGUAGUGGAGCGGCGCGGGCGUGAUGAAGCCGUGGUGCAUGAGGCGCGCCAGCGGCGGCUCGCAGUUGAGCGGGUGCUUGCCGGUGAGGCGGAUCAGCGAGGGGUUGCGGUCGAUCCAGGCGUCCGCCGUGCCCUCGUCCCGCGGGUCGCGCGUCGACGGCUCCACCUCCAGCUGCAGCUGCGAGCCGUACGCCUCCCGCCAGUCCUCCUCCGGCUCCUCGUCCUCCUCGUCCUGCUCCUCUUCCUCGACGAUGGCCUUCCGCGGCGGCGAAAUGAGCGGGGGGAACCCGCAGCCGCGCACCGGCGAGUCGGCGCGGCGACGGAUGCCGCCGUUGGAGGAACCGUUGCGUGCCGGCGGCGCGGUGGCCGGCGCGUCGAGGCGGCCGAACGACGACUGCCGUGGCUCGACCGAAGCGGCCAUGGUGCGCUGUGCCGCGUCGUGGGACAAGCGUUGGAUGGUUUCUGGAUUGGUCGCCGCAGAAGAGGAAAGGAAGGAACCGGCGGCAGGUAG
RNAcentral lists this ribosomal RNA (1290 nucleotides) under Triticum aestivum (bread wheat). RNAcentral describes it as "partial small subunit ribosomal RNA". Lineage: Eukaryota; Viridiplantae; Streptophyta; Magnoliopsida; Poales; Poaceae. The record is from RNAcentral.